GAUGAACGCUGGCGGCGUGCCUAAUACAUGCAAGUCGAGCGAACAGACGAGGAGCUUGCUCCUCUGACGUUAGCGGCGGACGGGUGAGUAACACGUGGAUAACCUACCUAUAAGACUGGGAUAACUUCGGGAAGCCGGAGCUAAUACCGGAUAAUAUAUUGAACCGCAUGGUUCAAUAGUGAAAGACGGUUUUGCUGUCACUUAUAGAUGGAUCCGCGCCGCAUUAGCUAGUUGGUAAGGUAACGGCUUACCAAGGCAACGAUGCGUAGCCGACCUGAGAGGGUGAUCGGCCACACUGGAACUAAGACACGGUCCAGACUCCUACGGGAGGCAGCAGUAGGGAAUCUUCCGCAAUGGGCGAAAGCCUGACGGAGCAACGCCGCGUGAGUGAUGAAGGUCUUCGGAUCGUAAAACUCUGUUAUUAGGGAAGAACAAAUGUGUAAGUAACUAUGCACGUCUUGACGGUACCUAAUCAGAAAGCCACGGCUAACUACGUG
Molecule: ribosomal RNA, 497 nt
Filed under: uncultured bacterium
Lineage: Bacteria
Description: partial 16S ribosomal RNA
Rfam family: Bacterial small subunit ribosomal RNA
Source: RNAcentral